This 513-nucleotide ribosomal RNA is filed under the name uncultured bacterium. Its description in RNAcentral is "bacterial SSU rRNA". It matches the Rfam family "Bacterial small subunit ribosomal RNA", at positions 390 to 919 of the family's 1533-position model. The record is from RNAcentral.
AGCAACGCCGCGUGAAGGAAGAAGGUUUUCGGAUCGUAAACUUCUAUCCUUGGUGAAGAUAAUGACGGUAGCCAAGAAGGAAGCCCCGGCUAACUACGUGCCAGCAGCCGCGGUAAUACGUAGGGGGCAAGCGUUGUCCGGAAUGAUUGGGCGUAAAGGGCGCGUAGGCGGCCUGGUAAGUCUGGAGUGAAAGUCCUGCUUUUAAGGUGGGAAUUGCUUUGGAUACUGCUGGGCUUGAGUGCAGGAGAGGUAAGUGGAAUUCCCGGUGUAGCGGUGAAAUGCGUAGAGAUCGGGAGGAACACCAGUGGCGAAGGCGACUUACUGGACUGUAACUGACGCUGAGGCGCGAAAGUGUGGGGAGCAAACAGGAUUAGAUACCCUGGUAGUCCACACUGUAAACGAUGAAUGCUAGGUGUAGGGGGUAGUCGACCCCUUCUGUGCCGGAGUUAACACAAUAAGCAUUCCGCCUGGGGAGUACGGCCGCAAGGUUGAACUCAAAGGAAUUGACGGGGG